RNAcentral lists this ribosomal RNA (112 nucleotides) under Cavia porcellus (domestic guinea pig). Lineage: Eukaryota; Metazoa; Chordata; Mammalia; Rodentia; Caviidae. The record is from RNAcentral.
GGUCUAGGCCAUACCACCUUGAAGGCACCCAAUCUGGUCUGAUCUCAGGAUCUAGCAGGUCAGGCCCGGUGAGAACUUGGAUGGGAGUAAUGAGGAGAAGGUACUUAGGACU